CCACUCAAUCUAACAUGAUUACCUUCUACAACCAAAGUUGCAAAAGCAAGAGCUUCUGCAAGUGCCCAGUCAAUUCCUUCCCCAGUUUCAAUCAUUUGUGCACGUUGUUCAUAAACCUUCUUUACAGCUCUGUGAGGCUUAAAAUUUUCAGGAAAAGUUGUAAUUGCCUUGCCAACAUUCUUCAAGAUCUCAGGUUUCACCCCAGUGUUUCGGAU
RNAcentral lists this unclassified non-coding RNA (215 nucleotides) under Hevea brasiliensis (rubber tree). Lineage: Eukaryota; Viridiplantae; Streptophyta; Magnoliopsida; Malpighiales; Euphorbiaceae. The record is from RNAcentral.